Molecule: non-coding RNA, 463 nt
Organism: Danio rerio (zebrafish)
Lineage: Eukaryota; Metazoa; Chordata; Actinopteri; Cypriniformes; Danionidae
Source: RefSeq, a predicted model, not a curated record
UUUUCUUUAACAUUGUCAAACAAUCCAAAAGAAAUAUAACUUUAAAAGAAAAGGAAAAGUCACUCAUAAUAUAAGAUUGAAUAAACAUUUCACUGUCCAAUGAAUCAAACCGAUUCUUUUAGAAAUGAAUCAAACGGCUCUCAUUGUGAAUGAAUCAUUGAAUAGUUGACUUCACUCAGGCCUACACGAGCAGCGUCUUCCUUCGGAUUUGUUUGGAUCAUUUUUGAUGGCAAAACAGCACAAAUGUUUUAAAUUUCCUCUGCCUGCACCUGAGGCCCUCAAGAUCUUAGAAGAAGAGGAUCACGUGUUUCUCUUCUGGAAGGGGCUUUGAGGUGUAUGUGCAUGACAGUGUCACCAACUCCACCAAGUGUUUAGGCAACACAACAGAGACGUUCUUCAGAAUCAACAGCCUGCUGGCAGGUCAUAACUACACGUUCUCGGUGCGGGCGCGAUGUCUACUCAG